GACGAACGCUGGCGGCGUGCUUAACACAUGCAAGUCGAACGGAAAGGCCCUGCUUUUGUGGGGUGCUCGAGUGGCGAACGGGUGAGUAACACGUGAGUAACCUGCCCUUGACUUUGGGAUAACUUCAGGAAACUGGGGCUAAUACCGGAUAGGAGCUCCUGCUGCAUGGUGGGGGUUGGAAAGUUUCGGCGGUUGGGGAUGGACUCGCGGCUUAUCAGCUUGUUGGUGGGGUAGUGGCUUACCAAGGCUUUGACGGGUAGCCGGCCUGGGAGGGUGACCGGCCACCUUGGGCCUGAGAUACGGCCCAGACUCCUACGGGAGGCAGCGGUGGGGAAUAUUGCACAAUGGGCGGAAGCCUGAUGCAGCAACGCCGCGUGCGGGAUGACGGCCUUCGGGUUGUGAACCGCUUUCGCCUGUGACGAAGCGUGAGUGACGGUAAUGGGUAAAGAAGCACCGGCUAACUACGUG
This 468-nucleotide ribosomal RNA is filed under the name uncultured bacterium. Its description in RNAcentral is "partial 16S ribosomal RNA". It matches the Rfam family "Bacterial small subunit ribosomal RNA", at positions 28 to 507 of the family's 1533-position model. The record is from RNAcentral.